GUCUCCGAUGUCCCCCCCGCCACCCUUCCACAGUCUGCAGUCGCUCGGCGGCUGGUGUGGCAGGCAGAGUGGAAGGAGAGGAGAGAGAAAGAGUGAGGGGAGAGCAAGGGUUACAUCAAGGCUGCUCCCUGGACCGUGCAAACAAGUCUAGACCAGUGACCUGUUCAAUGGCUCCUUUUGAGGAGCGGUGCAAGUUCGGUCAGGGCGAGGAGAAAGCCAGGCGGGCCCUUCUUUUCAGUGCCGGAGCAGCUCAAAGCCCACGGCUGCCAGGAGAUGGGAAGAGAGUGAGAUUACUCCAUACCGUGUAAGGCACACAAUCAACAAGCCUCCGUCAGUCAAGGCGACUCCAGUGCAGGCCAGGGCCUUCCCACAUGAAAAAAUACACUGAACAAAAAUAUAAAUGCAACAUGUAAAGUGUUGGUUCCAUGUUUUAUGAUCUGAAAUAAAAUAUUCCAAACAUUUUCCAUAUGCACAAAAGCUUAUUUCUCUAAAAUGUUGUGCACUCAUUUGUUUACAUCCCUGUUAGUGAGCAUUUAUCCUUUGCCAAGAUAAUCCAUCCACCUGACAAGUGUGACAUAU
RNAcentral lists this long non-coding RNA (579 nucleotides) under Oncorhynchus kisutch (coho salmon). Its description in RNAcentral is "lncRNA (ENSOKIG00005010076.1)". Lineage: Eukaryota; Metazoa; Chordata; Actinopteri; Salmoniformes; Salmonidae. The record is from RNAcentral.